AGAGCAUUGGAGGCUGCUUCUGCUGAUAGUUACAAUCAUUGUGUGAGAGAACGUCUUUUGUUUCCGCGUGCAGAGAAUUUGGACAAUGAUGGGAAAGUAUUGAGACUUCUGUCAGGUUAUUUGGCUGAUAAGCGUGCUUCCAUCACAUCUGAGCCAUUGUCCAGACAAUUCAUCCAAAGAAUUAAGAAGCCUAGAGUCCGGCAGCUAGUUGGCAAGUUGCUAUGUCCGGUAUCUUUUGAGCCUUCCAUGGUCAACACAGUUCUGGAAGCAUGGUAUGGUCCAUCUCUCUUACCUGAAAAGAAAGACGAACUAACCAACUUUGUCGACAUGGUUGAGAGCUUAAUGGGGAUGCUUCCUUCCAACUAUCAUCUGGCAAUUUGUGUAUGCAAGCAGAUUACGAAAACCUCAAUUCCAGCAAACACUUCUGGUGGCGUCUCCUUCUGGGGAAGUGCUCUACUGAUAAGUGCAUUAUUUCAAGCUGUUCCCGUUGCGCCAGAAUAUGUAUGGGUAGAAGCUUCAGAUAUUUUGCAUGGUCUUACAGGUUCCCCGUCCCUAUCCCUCAGUUUCCUGAAGAGAGCUCUGUCUGUAUAUCCAUUCUCUGUAAUGCUGUGGAAAUCUUAUCUCAGUUUGUCCGAGGCCGAAGGAAACUCAGAAGCUGUUAAAGAAGCAGCAAUGGCAAAAGGUAUUGAACUCCAGUAACUAAUGCACACACCCCUCGAUAAACCUCGGGGCAGUUUUUUUUAGUGUACUGAAUUGUUGUAUUUUUGUAGAGAAUUAGAGAAGUGUACAUGAGAGGAAAAUCAUGUAAUUUCAUGUUGCCACAGGUAUUUCUUUGAGAGAAACAUUUUUAUUCAGUAGCUUAUGAAUGUUUAGAGUAGAAGUUACCGUAUUGAU
This 894-nucleotide unclassified non-coding RNA is filed under the name Hevea brasiliensis (rubber tree). The record is from RNAcentral. Lineage: Eukaryota; Viridiplantae; Streptophyta; Magnoliopsida; Malpighiales; Euphorbiaceae.